RNAcentral lists this ribosomal RNA (496 nucleotides) under Morchella americana. Its description in RNAcentral is "eukaryotic LSU rRNA". It matches the Rfam family "Eukaryotic large subunit ribosomal RNA", at positions 80 to 575 of the family's 3401-position model. Lineage: Eukaryota; Fungi; Ascomycota; Pezizomycetes; Pezizales; Morchellaceae. The record is from RNAcentral.
UCAGUAACGGCGAGCGAAGCGGCAAAAGCUCAAAUUUUAAAGCUGGCACCUCCGGUGUCCGCGUUGUAAUUUUGUGAGGCAUCUCCGGGUGGGGCGCCGGCCUAAGUUCCUUGGAACAGGACGUCAUAGAGGGUGAGAAAUGCCCGUGCUUGGCUGGCUGUCCCCGUCCCUGUGAGGUGUCUUCGACGAGUCGAGUUGUUUGGGAAUGCAGCUCAAUAAUGGGUGGUAAAUUUCAUCUAAAGCUAAAUAUUGGUGGGAGACCGAUAGCGCACAAGUAGAGUGAUCGAAAGAUGAAAAGCACUUUGAAAAUAGAGUUAAAAAGUACGUGAAAUUGUUGAAAGGGAAGCGCUUGAGACCAGACUUCGGUGGGGAGUGAUCAGCCGUCCUUCUGGGCGGUGCACUUGCCCCCCUCCGGGCCAGCAUCGGUUGGGACGGCAGGAUGGAGGUCCCGGCAAUGUGGCUCCUCUCGGUUAGUGUUAUAGCCCGGGUGAAUGCC